AGUAGAAUGCCUGACUAAAGGGUUAUUUUGAUAGAAUAAAUUAUGUAAAUAUCUUACUUCUACUA
This 65-nucleotide transfer RNA is filed under the name Staphylinidae sp. BMNH 1274232. Its description in RNAcentral is "tRNA-Ile". The record is from RNAcentral. Lineage: Eukaryota; Metazoa; Arthropoda; Insecta; Coleoptera; Staphylinidae.